GUAAAACUGUUUCUCCCUAGGCACAAUUCCUCUUCUCGGCCUCUACAGCACUGGCUAGAGAUGUGGAGGGUUGGUCAUCUCAGUAAGCAAACCAAUUAAGAAAGGACUGGGGCCAGGGAAAUCAUUUCCUCACUGUUGCCAUGCCUCCUCUCACACUGCCAAAAGCAGAGGUUAAAAAUCACAGAAACAGGGAACGAAGUCUGGCCUCACAUAUUAUUCAAAGAAAGCAUGCGUAGAGAAUGCUAUUUCUAGUUAAAUAGCAAGUGAGGCUGAGGAGAGGCUGGGGACCCGGGAACACACACAGCAGAGCCAAGGCAAGUGGGGCACUAGGAUUCUGUCUCCAGAACGCUGAGACCGUCCCGGGUGGGCAGGUGUGACGACACUUGGAAGCUGCCUCAGGGGGUUCCUAUGCUGUCAGAUUUCUUGAAUCCUAGGAAGGCUUGACUCAAAUUUGGCCCUGAGACCCAGGAUUUAAAACCUCAGUCUUGUGACCACCAUGAGCUAUCAAGAGUGUACUUUACCCUGAGAAAUU
Molecule: long non-coding RNA, 532 nt
Filed under: Homo sapiens (human)
Lineage: Eukaryota; Metazoa; Chordata; Mammalia; Primates; Hominidae
Description: non-protein coding lnc-AP2S1-4:1
Source: RNAcentral